AGUGAACGCUGGCGGUAGGCCUAACACAUGCAAGUCGAACGGCAGCACUGGAGAGCUUGCUCUCUGGGUGGCGAGUGGCGGACGGGUGAGGAAUACAUCGGAAUCUACUUUUUCGUGGGGGAUAACGUAGGGAAACUUACGCUAAUACCGCAUACGACCUACGGGUGAAAGCAGGGGACCUUCGGGCCUUGCGCGAUUGAAUGAGCCGAUGUCGGAUUAGCUAGUUGGCGGGGUAAAGGCCCACCAAGGCGACGAUCCGUAGCUGGUCUGAGAGGAUGAUCAGCCACACUGGAACUGAGACACGGUCCAGACUCCUACGGGAGGCAGCAGUGGGGAAUAUUGGACAAUGGGCGCAAGCCUGAUCCAGCCAUACCGCGUGGGUGAAGAAGGCCUUCGGGUUGUAAAGCCCUUUUGUUGGGAAAGAAAUCCAGCUGGCUAAUACCCGGUUGGGAUGACGGUACCCAAAGAAUAAGCACCGGCUAACUUCGUGCCAGCAGCCGCUGUAA
This 506-nucleotide ribosomal RNA is filed under the name uncultured bacterium. Its description in RNAcentral is "partial 16S ribosomal RNA". It matches the Rfam family "Bacterial small subunit ribosomal RNA", at positions 29 to 523 of the family's 1533-position model. The record is from RNAcentral.